CGUCAAAUCAUCAUGCCCCUUAUGACCUGGGCUACACGCGUGCUACAAUGGCCGGUACAAAGAGUCGCGAAGCCGUGAGGCGGAGCUAAUCUCAGAAAGCCGGUCUCAGUUCAGAUUGUAGUCUGCAACUCGACUACAUGAAGGCGGAAUCGCUAGUAAUCGCGAAUCAGCAUGUCGCGGUGAAUACGUUCUCGAGUCUU
Molecule: ribosomal RNA, 200 nt
Filed under: uncultured organism
Description: partial small subunit ribosomal RNA
Rfam family: Bacterial small subunit ribosomal RNA
Source: RNAcentral